RNAcentral lists this ribosomal RNA (1243 nucleotides) under Salmonella enterica subsp. enterica serovar Typhi. RNAcentral's name for it is "bacterial LSU rRNA". It matches the Rfam family "Bacterial large subunit ribosomal RNA", at positions 1281 to 2507 of the family's 2925-position model. Lineage: Bacteria; Pseudomonadati; Pseudomonadota; Gammaproteobacteria; Enterobacterales; Enterobacteriaceae. The record is from RNAcentral.
AUCAGAAGUGCGAAUGCUGACAUAAGUAACGAUAAAGCGGGUGAAAAGCCCGCUCGCCGGAAGACCAAGGGUUCCUGUCCAACGUUAAUCGGGGCAGGGUGAGUCGACCCCUAAGGCGAGGCCGAAAGGCGUAGUCGAUGGGAAACGGGUUAAUAUUCCCGUACUUGGUGUUACUGCGAAGGGGGGACGGAGAAGGCUAUGUUGGCCGGGCGACGGUUGUCCCGGUUUAAGCGUGUAGGUAUGUGUUCCAGGUAAAUCCGGUUCACUUUAACACUGAGGCGUGACGACGAGGCACUACGGUGCUGAAGCAACAAAUGCCCUGCUUCCAGGAAAAGCCUCUAAGCAUCAGGUAACAUCAAAUCGUACCCCAAACCGACACAGGUGGUCAGGUAGAGAAUACCAAGGCGCUUGAGAGAACUCGGGUGAAGGAACUAGGCAAAAUGGUGCCGUAACUUCGGGAGAAGGCACGCUGACACGUAGGUGAAGUGAUUUACUCACGGAGCUGAAGUCAGCCGAAGAUACCAGCUGGCUGCAACUGUUUAUUAAAAACACAGCACUGUGCAAACACGAAAGUGGACGUAUACGGUGUGACGCCUGCCCGGUGCCGGAAGGUUAAUUGAUGGGGUCAGCGCAAGCGAAGCUCCUGAUCGAAGCCCCGGUAAACGGCGGCCGUAACUAUAACGGUCCUAAGGUAGCGAAAUUCCUUGUCGGGUAAGUUCCGACCUGCACGAAUGGCGUAAUGAUGGCCAGGCUGUCUCCACCCGAGACUCAGUGAAAUUGAACUCGCUGUGAAGAUGCAGUGUACCCGCGGCAAGACGGAAAGACCCCGUGAACCUUUACUAUAGCUUGACACUGAACAUUGAGCCUUGAUGUGUAGGAUAGGUGGGAGGCUUUGAAGUGUGGACGCCAGUCUGCAUGGAGCCGACCUUGAAAUACCCCCCUUUAAUGUUUGAUGUUCUAACGUGGACCCGUGAUCCGGGUUGCGGACAGUGUCUGGUGGGGAGUUUGACUGGGGCGGUCUCCUCCUAAAGAGUAACGGAGGAGCACGAAGGUUGGCUAAUCCUGGUCGGACAUCAGGAGGUUAGUGCAAUGGCAUAAGCCAGCUUGACUGCGAGCGUGACGGCGCGAGCAGGUGCGAAAGCAGGUCAUAGUGAUCCGGUGGUUCUGAAUGGAAGGGCCAUCGCUCAACGGAUAAAAGGUACUCCGGGGAUAACAGGCUGAUACCGCCCAAGAGUUCAUAUCG